GAGGAGCGAAAGCGUGGGGAGCGAACAGGAUUAGAUACCCUGGUAGUCCACGCCGUAAACGGUGGGCACUAGUUGUGGGGACCUUCCACGGUCUCUGCGACGCAGCUAACGCAUUAAGUGCCCCGCCUGGGGAGUACGAUCGCAAGAUUAAAACUCAAAGGAAUUGACGGGGCCCCGCACAAGCAGCGGAGCAUGCGGCUUAAUUCGACGCAACGCGAAGAACCUUACCAAGGCUUGACAUAUACAGGAAUAUGGCAGAGAUGUCAUAGCCGCAAGGUCUGUAUACAGGUGGUGCAUGGUUGUCGUCAGCUCGUGUCGUGAGAUGUUGGGUUAAGUCCCGCAACGAGCGCAACCCUCGUUCUGUGUUGCCAGCAUUUAGUUGGGGACUCACAGGAGACUGCCGGGGUUAACUCGGAGGAAGGUGGGGAUGACGUCAAAUCAUCAUGCCCCUUAUGUCUUGGGCUGCACGCAUGCUACAAUGGCUGGUACAAACGGCUGCAAUACCGCAAGGUGGAGCGAAUCCGAGAAAGCCAGUCUCAGUUCGGAUUGGGGUCUGCAACUCGACCCCAUGAAGUCGGAGUUGCUAGUAAUCGUAGAUCAGCAACGCUACGGUGAUACGUUCCCGGGGCUUGUACACACCGCCCGUCACGUCACGAAAGUCGGUAACACCCGAAGUCAGUGGCCCAACCGCAAGGAGGGAGCUGCCGAAGGUG
This 713-nucleotide ribosomal RNA is filed under the name uncultured Actinomycetes bacterium. RNAcentral's name for it is "bacterial SSU rRNA". It matches the Rfam family "Bacterial small subunit ribosomal RNA", at positions 748 to 1464 of the family's 1533-position model. The record is from RNAcentral. Lineage: Bacteria; Bacillati; Actinomycetota; Actinomycetes.